AGAGUUUGAUCAUGGCUCAGAUUGAACGCUGGCGGCAGGCUUAACACAUGCAAGUCGAGCGGAAACGAUACCAGCUUGCUGGUAGGCGUCGAGCGGCGGACGGGUGAGUAAUACUUAGGAAUCUACCUAGUAGUGGGGGAUAGCACGGGGAAACUCGUAUUAAUACCGCAUACGACCUACGGGAGAAAGGGGGCAGUUUACUGCUCUCGCUAUUAGAUGAGCCUAAGUCGGAUUAGCUAGAUGGUGGGGUAAAGGCCUACCAUGGCGACGAUCUGUAGCUGGUCUGAGAGGAUGAUCAGCCACACCGGGACUGAGACACGGCCCGGACUCCUACGGGAGGCAGCAGUGGGGAAUAUUGGACAAUGGGGGCAACCCUGAUCCAGCCAUGCCGCGUGUGUGAAGAAGGCCUUUUGGUUGUAAAGCACUUUAAGCAGUGAAGAAGACUCCGUGGUUAAUACCCACGGACGAUGACAUUAGCUGCAGAAUAAGCACCGGCUAACUCUGUGCCAGCAGCCGCGGUAAUACAGAGGGUGCAAGCGUUAAUCGGAAUUACUGGGCGUAAAGGGAGCGUAGGUGGCUCAAUAAGUCAGAUGUGAAAUCCCCGGGCUCAACCUGGGAACUGCAUCUGAUACUGUUGAGCUAGAGUAUGUGAGAGGAAGGUAGAAUUCCAGGUGUAGCGGUGAAAUGCGUAGAGAUCUGGAGGAAUACCGAUGGCGAAGGCAGCCUUCUGGCAUAAUACUGACACUGAGCUCGAAAGCGUGGGUAGCAAACAGGAUUAGAUACCCUGGUAGUCCACGCCGUAAACGAUGUCUACUAGUCGUUGGGGACUUGAUUCCUAGUGACGCAGCUAACGCCAUAAGUAGACCGCCUGGGGAAGUACGGCCGCAGGUUAAAACUCAAUUGAAUUGACGGGGCCCGCACAAGCGGUGAGCAUGUUGUUUAAUUCAAUGCAACGCGAAG
Molecule: ribosomal RNA, 960 nt
Filed under: uncultured bacterium
Lineage: Bacteria
Description: bacterial SSU rRNA
Rfam family: Bacterial small subunit ribosomal RNA
Source: RNAcentral